CAAGCGGGGCCCCGCCCCCGGGCACCUAGGUUCUCCCCCCUCCCAUCCGUGCCCUUUAUUGUCAGGUGUCCUGGCCCUUUUCCCUUCCUCCUGUCUUCUGCGCCUGCCUUGUCAUCCCAGACCCUCUCCCGUCCUCUGCUGCCGGCCUGUGUCCGCUCCUCCGCUGCGUCGCCCGGCCUGUCCUAAUUUUCCAUCCCCAGGGCCCGGCCCGCCACCACUUUUCCUCACGCUCCUGUGCAGGGCCUGCUUUGCCCACCCCCCGCCCCCCGCCGCCGCCGCCGCCGCGCUCAUUUUCUGCUGACGCCGCACCCUGGGCCUGCUGCAGGGGCAAAGUGGGCCCGUCCCCGCCCUGUUCCCAAGGCAGCGGACCUGGCCUGCGACCUCCAUCUCCCGAGCAAACGUAGGCUGUCCCCGCCUCCCCCCGCUGCUUGCCAUGUUCUGUGUUACUGUUGCUUCCCAUCACUGAACCGGGGCGCUAACAGGCGCUCUGGGGUCCAGGCUCUUGCUCCGGGGGGCUGCAGGAAAAAGGCCACUCCACAGGGCCAUUUGCCGCCGCGGAGCUGACAGGCUUCCCACAGACGUCACCCGCUGCUGGAAUGUGCGGAAUGCGGAUUUGCAGGGGCAAAGUCCUCAGAGCGUCCCCAUCCCCGCCUCCUCCUGACCUACACUGAAAGCAGGCUGCAGCGACAACUGCAGGAAGGAGCCGGAGGGCCCUCACUGAAGGUGUAAGCCUUCUGAUCAGCGCUCUCCGGAGGUGCGGGAGUGCGGCGUGCAACGUGAAGCCUGAAGGACAAAAGCAUCCUAAAGCGAUCCAUCUGACGUAGAAAAUAAGUAAAUAACAUAGAGGUUGUUUAACUGUUACGGAAAAAGACGAGAUAAAAUAAUGCAAUAAUAUUUCUUUAUUUCUAGCACCCUGUCCCUGGGCAUCCUACAGGAUCAUAAUAGCUACACUGCCCUUGAAACAGCUGGCUGCUGUCCGCCAUACAAUAGUGCAUAACAAUAAGGGAUGAGAAAUGUAGCCAAGGACACCGAUGUAAUGAUUCUAUGGUUCUCAUUGUUCACAAAUAGUUUCAAAGGCUUCUUUGGAAAUCACUUCGUGUAGCUUUUAAAAAUUGUUUUGUUUUGCAGAACUUUAAAAAUAAAGUUAAUUUAAAAGCUGGGAAGAUGUUAAUCUGUUAUGAGUCAAAGCAGCAAAAUAAGCCUAUUCUAUUACAUAUAUACAAAUAUCAUAUGGUUAUGUAAGUCUUACCAACAUUUCUCUUAGUCUAGAAAAAGAUUAAUUAGUCAUACUGUUGGAUCUACUGUAUGGAUAAAAAAUCCUCUUUUGUUUGAACUGCUGAUUUCUCUGUUCUUCAUUUCUUUCAGCGUAUACCAUGUAAAUUGUUUGUCAAGACACUGUAUACUUAAAUAUAAUUGGAGGUAAUUUUUAACAUGUUAAAUAGAAUAGGCUGUUAAAAGGUAAAUUAAAGAUUUUUAGCUGAGAGAGCCAGCUGGAGAUCUGAUGACUCUUAUGAACCCUUGGAGCCCACAAUACAACCAAAUAAUAUUUUGUUUUGGUUCUGCAGGUAGAAGAGAGUGGGCUGAAAAUCCUAGACUGAAGGUCAUGUGGAUCCUUUUGUGUGGAGCUGGCAUGCACUGCUGCUGUUCUUGCAAGAAAAGAGUUAGGUGCUGUGGAUCCCAAGCAGAGAUAUGUGCCUCCCUCCAACUCAGACUUAGGUGCCUAACUCCCCAAGAAGGGUAGGAUUUAGGAUACACCCCUCUCCAUCACAUCUACAAUUAUUUAACUUAGGCAGCUCAGACUUUUGUGGAUCUCAUUCUCGGGCAUCAGUAUGUCUCCGACUCCAUGCAUUGUAUAGAGAGCAUAGGCACCUAACCUAGAGUUUGUGGAUUCCACUGGUUGGCUAGGGGUGCUAUCCAUGAAGCAACUUAGAUGUCUAAACUCCAGAUAUAGGUGCCUAACUCCCUGUAUGCAGCACCACUGUGAUCCACAAAAUUCCUAUUUGGCUGCUGCUUAACUUUCAAGGUUCCUAAUCUCACUUGUUGCCUAACUUUCCUGAGUAAGAGUUCCUGAGGUGCUUAAGUUUUAGACCCUGAUGCAUGCAUGCUGCUGCAUCUCUCUGGGCCCGUGGUUCCCAAACUUGUUCCGCCGCUUGUGCAUGGAAAGCUCCUGGCGGGCCGGGGCCGGUUUGUUUACCAGCUGCGUCCGCAGGUUCGGCUGAUUGCGGCUCCCAGUGGCUGUGGUUUGCUGCUCCAGGCCAAUGGGAGCUGCUGGAAGCAGCGCGGGCCGAGGGACGUUCUGCUCUAGGCACAUGGGUGCCUAUCCCCUGCCAAAUCCCAGAACUAGUCACAAGUGGGAAAAUAGGCAUUAGUCCACCUAAGUCACAUGCAGGGCCUGAUUUGGUAGGUGGCUUCCGAGCAUGCCUACUAGGUCAGGUCCCAUUCAAAAGCUGUCUGGAUGACAUGGUGGUCUUAUAAGUUCUGGCCUCCUGAUUAGUGCAUUUACUGGGGAUGUGGGUGACCCAGAUUCAAUUUUCACCUCUCUCUGAGAGGAGGAAGAAGGAUUUGAAUAGGGGUGUCCCACACUUUUCAGGAGGGUGCUUUAACCACUGAGCUAGAGGUAGUAGAGGGCUCCCUCAGUCUCUCCUCUUUAAACUGUUUCUCUCUGGAUAAAUAUUUAAAUAGCUAUGGGGCCAGAGAGAGAGCAAGUGCAAGAAUUACUCUGUAGUUCAGUGGUUGGGGUUCCUACAUAGGAGGUGGGAGACCCUUCAGCCAGUCCGCCUACUCCAAUUGUUCUUUCAUUAUUUAGCCCCAGUGAACAGUUUCAUCAGGAGAGAUUGAGGGAGCCCCAAAUCAGAAUAUCCCAGAGCUUAGUGAUUAGAGAGCUCUCCUGAGAGAUAGGAGACCCUAUUCAAAUUACUCCUGGGGACUUCUGUGCCAAAAAAUUAAAAAUUGUGUGCACAAUAUUUUAAAAUUCUGCAUAUUUUAUUUGUCAAAAUACAACAUAAUCACCCUUCUGCUGUCAGCCCCAGGCGGCUGGGGGUCCUGCUGAUAGCCCCACGUGCCUUGGGCUCUGCAGUCAGUCCUGCUUGGCUGAGGCUCCUGCUGUCUGUGGAAGCCCCAGCCAUCCAUGCCAGGUGCAGGUAGGAGUGCUGGGAGGAAAUCACAAAUGCGGUGGGAAAAAAUAAAAUUCUGCAGGGAACAUUUAUUCUGUGUAAAUUUUGCAUUGUGCAGUGGCACAGAAGUAUCAGUUUUUUUCCCUCCCCCUCUGACAGAGGGGGGAAUUGAACUGGGGUUUCCCACCUCCCAUGAGUUAUUUAAAUACUGUGCUAAAAGUUAUAAGGUGGGCAUUGGCACCAUCUCCUCCAGCUGUUUUGUGUGCAGCAAGACAGGUGCCAAACUCAUGUUCACACAUGGCAUAGGGCAUUUAAGCCCCCCUGACUUCAGGUGGCUGGUUCCUGUUCAUGGAUCACUAGCAGAGACAAGUGCCUGUCUCUGAGAGAUUUGUGAGGCUUACCACACACACCUAUUGUUGGCAUCUCCCGUUGGCUAGUUUUGGCAGCUCCCUGUCUAGCAUGUUGGCUUGUGUGGAUCAUAUGCUUCGGCUCUUCUCUCUCCCCAUUCAUUGUAUAGGAAACCUAUGUGCCUUACUUUGCUUUCUGAGUCACAACGUUGCUCCUGAGAGUUUCUAGGCCCCUAAAAAUUAGGUGGUGUGAUGUGAAGUGGUGCAGUGUCUAAGGCCCUUAGUAGUUCAGGUCCUCCAUACAUAGCUUGGCUGCAUUGUGUGUAUGGUUGCCCAAAGUAUGUGAGGUUGUAUGAAAUAAGUCACAAAGUCAUGAGUGAGUCAUGAGAAUAGUUAGGGUAGAGUAGGAUGUGGGAGGGGACGUAGGCUGUAAUGAGGGCAGAGAUGCAGAAUCCUAGCCUCUUUGUUUCCAGGUGCAUUGCUAGAAAAGAAGGGACUGUGUUUAUGUGGAAAACUGCUUGAUUUGUGUGUGAUUGUAGCUUCUGUUUUCACAUCUAGCCCCACAACUAAAGGAAGUUCUGUUCCUCUUCCUUUCUAAGUGCAAAAAAAUAUUAUUCUUGCUAGAACUGCUGAAACAAGAGGUUUCAUGAGAUGGAUACACUCACAAUAAAUUAAUAACCAGAAAAGGCAAUUAAUUAUUGCUAGCUACAGAAAUGCACUGAAAUCUAAAUCAGACUUUUUGCAGGUUUAAUUUACGUCUGUUUUAAAUAAGAUUUGUGCUGUGUCUAUAAUUUUGCUGUUUAAGGUUUGCCGUGCUUUGGGUUGUAUUCUCUUGUGCCAUUUUCUACGUCCCUCGGCCCGUGCCGCUUCCAGCAGCUCCCAUUUGCCUGGAGCAGUGAACCGCAGCCACUGGGAGCUGCGAUUGGCUGAACCUUUGGACACGGCAGGUAAACAAACCGGCCCCGCCCCCCAAGAGGGGCUUUCCCUGCACAAGCAGCGGAACAAGUUUGGGAACCACUGGAUUACAUUUUAUUAGAAUGCUAAAACAGUCUUCCAUUUAGUCUGUCAUCAACACCCUGAAGAAGAGCUCUGCAUAAGCUUGAAAGUUUGCCUCUCUCAUGAACAGAAGUUGGUCCAAUACAAUAUAUUACGUUGCCCACCUUGUCUCACUAACAAAAGCAGGUGUUGGGGUUUGUUUUUUUUAGUAAUUGUUUUCCCAUUACUUUCCAAGAAAUCUGUCUGCAUAGUAUUGUUUAUUAUAAAACUUGAGUUCCUUGAUGCAAGGGCUAGGACUUCUAUUUUCCAAUGGAUGGAGGAUAUAAACGAAAGAAAAAGAAGAAACUUGGGCAACACCUUUUUCUGUGAGAGUUGAUAGCUAUUUCCGUGAUGGAUUGAUUUAAAUAAUUGAUUUUAAUCUUGUUUUCUAUGUGUACUUUUCAAUUAUUUUCCUGUAGAAAGGUUUGUUCUCAUUGGUUGGUGUAACCAGUUGUUGAAAAUAAAAGUUUUAAAUAUA
Long non-coding RNA from Chelonia mydas (Green sea turtle), 4973 nucleotides. RefSeq lists it as uncharacterized. Lineage: Eukaryota; Metazoa; Chordata; Testudines; Cheloniidae. The transcript is spliced from 2 exons. The record is from RefSeq and is a predicted model, not a curated record.